RNAcentral lists this ribosomal RNA (495 nucleotides) under Triticum aestivum (bread wheat). RNAcentral describes it as "partial small subunit ribosomal RNA". Lineage: Eukaryota; Viridiplantae; Streptophyta; Magnoliopsida; Poales; Poaceae. The record is from RNAcentral.
AUGAUGGAUGAUGUGUACAUUUACCACGCGCACAAUUUCUUUGGUUUGUGUUUCUUUUGUGUAGGUACCCAUGAAUACUUGUCAACCUCACAAUCCCAUGAGUUGACAAAACGAGCUCUAGAGAGCAACGAUGACUUUGGAUCACAUGGAUUGCCUUUCCCACCGCUCUCUUCGCGCAAAUACUUCGCGCAUUUCUUCUACAUGGCUCUCACAUGGUUAUGGGUUAUUUACCACUUCUCACUUUAUGCCCAUAGUGCCAUGUUCACUUUGCAUGAUAUGCUCAUUCCUAUGCCUUUGCCAUGCAUUUGUGACCCAUGCUUUGCAUUACACAUGAUGAUUGAUUCUACUACUUGUAUGUGUAUUUGCAAGCUUGGUGGAGAUAUUGCUUGUUAUUGCCAUGUUCCAUUUAUGCCACAUUCCUACGAUGAUACUAUGAUCUUGCUUUGUGUUCGUGCUUGCGAUAUGCCAUGUGCACUAUCUAGGCUUAUUAUUUAG